GCCGCGGCUCCCUCCGCCUCCGAGCUGUGGAUGUCCAGGGGCUGAGUGGUGCCAAAGCGACAAGCAAUCCGCUGCUCCGGGUUUUACGAGCAGCACGAGGAAGAGCCUGGACCGGGCUGGGGAAGCUGUCAGUGGAGGCGGUCUUCAGUGAGUCCGGUGGGAUGCUACUUCUUGCUGGAGGAGAUUUCUGCAAUAGCUGAAGCCCGUGGGUGUCCCAUGGACUGUAGUCACCGCUUUUGCCCCCAGACACUGUGGUGAUGGCUAUCACUCCCAUGAUCUCCGGUUUUAUUUGUGUUAAGCUACAUUCCUAGAAGUGGAAACACCAAGAAAACAAGUCUUCUCUUCAAGACUUUAACACGAUGGAUAUUGCCCAGGAAAGAUGAUUUCUAGUUCAAACCCCAAGAACAAUUAUGAAAGUAUUUGUGUCAUAGUACUCUCACCAUGAUCAAAAUAAAGAUAAAAUAGUGAGCAUUAGAUGCAAAA
Long non-coding RNA from Mus musculus (house mouse), 483 nucleotides. RefSeq annotates it as predicted gene, 34758. NCBI's taxonomy places the organism in Eukaryota, Metazoa, Chordata, Mammalia, Rodentia, Muridae. The transcript has 3 exons. The record is from RefSeq and is marked validated.